AAAUCCUGAACUUCAGACAGGUCAUCCC
This 28-nucleotide small RNA is filed under the name Bombyx mori (domestic silkworm). RNAcentral describes it as "ovarian small RNA-4202". Lineage: Eukaryota; Metazoa; Arthropoda; Insecta; Lepidoptera; Bombycidae. The record is from RNAcentral.